Molecule: ribosomal RNA, 1208 nt
Filed under: seawater metagenome
Description: bacterial LSU rRNA
Rfam family: Bacterial large subunit ribosomal RNA
Source: RNAcentral
GAGGUAUCAGAAGUGCGAAUGCUGACAUGAGUAACGAUAAGGGGGGUGAAAAACCCCCCCGCCGAAAGAUCAAGGUUUCCUGUCCAACGUUAAUCGGGACAGGGUGAGUCGGCCCCUAAGGCGAGGCGGAAACGCGUAGUCGAUGGGAAAUCGGUUAAAAUUCCGAUACCGAUUCUUACUGCGAUGGAGAGACGGAGAAGGCUAGGCUAGCACGGCGUUGGUUGUCCGUGUUUAAGCGUGUAGGUAGGGGGAUUAGGUAAAUCCGGUCCCUCGUUAAUCUGAGACGCGAUGACGAUCCUGAAGGGAAACCUGACGGAGAAGUAGUUGAUGCCAUACUUCCAGGAAAAUCUUCUAAGCUUCAGGUAAGAAUUGACCGUACUGUAAACCGACACAGGUGAUCAGGUAGAGAAUACCAAGGCGCUUGAGAGAACUUGGGUGAAGGAACUAGGCAAAAUGGUACCGUAACUUCGGGAGAAGGUACGCUCUUCAUGGUGAUGGGAUUUACUCCCUAAGCUGAGGAGAGUCGAAGUGACCAGGUGGCUGCAACUGUUUAUUAAAAACAUAGCACUCUGCAAACUCGUGAGAGGAAGUAUAGGGUGUGACGCCUGCCCGGUGCCGGAAGGUUAAUUGAUGGGGUUAUCUUCGGAGAAGCUCUUGAUCGAAGCCCCGGUAAACGGCGGCCGUAACUAUAACGGUCCUAAGGUAGCGAAAUUCCUUGUCGGGUAAGUUCCGACCUGCACGAAUGGCGUAAUGAUGGCCACGCUGUCUCCACCCAAGACUCAGUGAAAUUGAAAUCGCUGUUAAGAUGCAGUGUACCCGCGGCUAGACGGAAAGACCCCGUGAACCUUUACUAUAGCUUCACAGUGGACUUUGAUCUUAUUUGUGUAGGAUAGGUGGGAGACUUUGAAGCGUUGUCGCUAGACAGCGUGGAGUCAACCUUGAAAUACCACCCUGAUAAUAUUGAGGUUCUAACUUAGCUCCUGAAACGGGAGUGAGGACAUUGUGUGGUGGGUAGUUUGACUGGGGCGGUCUCCUCCUAAAGAGUAACGGAGGAGCACGAAGGUACCCUAAUGACGGUCGGAAAUCGUCAGUUUAGUGUAAUGGCAUAAGGGUGCUUGACUGCGAGAGUGACAACUCGAGCAGGUACGAAAGUAGGUCAUAGUGAUCCGGUGGUUCUGAAUGGAAGGGCCAUCGCUCAACGGAUAAAA